CGCCUAAUCGACGUCCUAGGUUGCGCAAUCUAAUGCGAAUAUAAUCGGGGAGAUCGAUAAUUACGUAAAGCCCGAUGUGUUCGGUAGGAACGAUGGAUUAGAAACGUUGUCCUGACAGGGAUCGAAUAUCUGUGUAACAAGAUGGUUGUUGGUAACCAGCUGGUUUGCGUGAUGGAGUUAAUAAUUUGAUGGAAAUUAGUUGGGUUAUGUUGUUUGCUACGAGUGUACGAUAAAUAAGGAAUUUUUUUAUACUCUUUCUGGUGUAGAAAAAAGUAGGAUUUCUAAUGCAUUUUGUUGUCGUUUUUGCUCGUCUGUCGGUCUGAUUGCGGUUUAAUAAUAAUUGUUAAUUUGUUAUUUUGUCCUGGAAGAGAUUGAAUUUGUUGUGGGACGCGAUGGUUUCGCGUGGCAGAGUUAAUAAUUGGAUGGAAGUCGGUUGAGGUUAUGUUGCUCGCUUGAGAGGUUGUCAGGGGGCCAGGUGGAAGGAAGGAAGAACGGAAGGAAUGUGCGACGAGUCGUGACCGGCGGAAGGCGGCCAGUCGACGAUACAUUUCCGGCAGGCAGGCCACUUGGAGCAAGUUUGCCCCUUGGUCGUGGACAAUACUGUGGGCGAGGACCGCUCGUUACACGCUACAUGGCCACGAAGGAUAUGGACAGACGAGCGGCCUCCGAGCAGUUGGCAUUCGUGACACGCACCAUCGAUGACACGAACCGCCAUGGGAUCCGAGCGAAUUACGAUUCUCCAUGGGCGCAUUUAUGCCCCGGAAUCGAUGACGAACCACCACCGUGUUUAAGGCGUACGUGUCGAAACGCUUGAGCCAGGAUAUGUCGUUCUUGUUGGAAUUUUAUCGAAGCAAGAAGGAGGUGGGGAGGGAGGGGGAAUUGAAUAGAUUCCAAGGGAUGAUUAUACGAUAUGGAAUCCCUUUAGAUUUUCCUGAUGCGAGUCUUUUGAAAAAGAUGAAAUAUAAAGUGAAUAUAAAGUUGAUCAAUUCUUUCCCCCCUAUCGAUCAACGAGUUUGAUUUUGUUACAGAACAUUUCCAUUUUCGUCACAAUGAUCGACCUCGAUGAACAAACGCGCGUAAAGAACAACUGAAGCGAAGAAAGAAAUUAUUUCGAUGGUUUCGAAAUAGCCGGAAAUAGGAUUUCGAAUAAAUUAUGGUUAAUCGAACGUAGUUCCUCGAAUCAUGUAUGAGCCAUGCGAAUAUUUCAAACGCUUCAUUAGAAUGAUUCAAUCUUGUGAAAAAGGGAUAGAAAUCGUCCGCUUUAUCGUAUUAAAUAUCAUUUUUUGAGGUUAGGUUAAGAGUAAAGUUCCGUGACGGUGGAAAAGAAUUCUAUUUUUCGAUUGAUUAAAUUUUAUACUAAAAAUUUUCGAAAUCUCGAAUUUUUUCAUUUUUUUAAACGGAAAUAUUUCGAAAAUUGUUAUUCAUUCAAUUGGAAAUCUCCUUUAUCCGUAUAAAAUAAGCAUUUUUAUAUACAUCAACUUCACUUGACUUUUGAAAAUUAUAUUAUAUCUGUAUUAUACACAUUCAUAAAAAUUUUACGUUGAAACGUUCAAUUUCAUCAUGUUUGGCAAACUCGGCGUAAACGAAAAAAACAACAUUCGUACGUGAAAAGUUGAGUUUUGGAAUCAUGGCCCCUUUUUAUCAAAAGGUUCGAGAUGAAAAUUCCGAUAUCGAACAAAGUAAUAAAAUUUAUAUCCACGUAACACAUACCUGAUACGUAUUCAUAAUGCAGUAAACUCUAUUAUGCUGUCUACCCUCGUUACAGUUCAUUAUUGACAUAUAAUCAAUGAUCUACAAUGACAUAGGAUACGUACGAACGUAUUAAGCGAUAUACAGCUGUAACUAUAGGAAUAUUGCUGUUCGAGGAAGAGAAUAUAAUAAAUGAAAUCACUUUCAAGUAGAUUUAAAUUGAUAAAUUGAUGAAAUCGUUGAGUUAAUCCUUCAAUUUUAAAUUCACGAUUAUUUAUAUCCGUCAAAUGAUAAAAAAAAAAAAAGAAAUAUAUAUUAUACAUCGA
This is a long non-coding RNA of Apis cerana (Asiatic honeybee), 2015 nucleotides long. RefSeq lists it as uncharacterized. The record is from RefSeq and is a predicted model, not a curated record. Lineage: Eukaryota; Metazoa; Arthropoda; Insecta; Hymenoptera; Apidae.